This is a long non-coding RNA of Oryzias sinensis (Chinese medaka), 1585 nucleotides long. The record is from Ensembl. NCBI's taxonomy places the organism in Eukaryota, Metazoa, Chordata, Actinopteri, Beloniformes, Adrianichthyidae.
GUUAAGUAGAAAAUACAGGACAAAAAAUCUAAAAUAGUCCUCAGAUAUCCGUUGAAAUCCUUCAAACAGAAAAGGAGAAAAAGGUUGUUUUCCUCCUGGUUUCCUCUGUUCUCCCCUGGGCUGCGUGCGUCUGAUGCAGCAGCUGAUCUGUUCAGAAACGGCCGGAAAAAAAACUCUGCAAACAUCUCGCAUGUUACAUUCCACAACUGAACAGUCAUAGUUCCGAGUCUGCACGAAGGAGGCACGUCCAGGAAACCGCGUUUGACACUCAGCCCGGUGGCCGACGUUUGGGGCGUCGCCCAAAGCCUCAGACCAAUCGGAGUUCACUAUCAAACUUUGUAAACAACUCUUACGCACUGAUUUUUAAAGCCCAUUUACUGCCCUCACCUCCACGGUGCUGCGCCGGACCGGGCCACAGACACGCCGGUUCUCAUUUUGAAAUCAAAAACUUCUCAUAAAACAUCAAUGAAGACUAGAAAAGUGAUGCAAUGCAAGGCUGAAAAGAAGCAAAAGCACCAGGACGCUUGCAGUCGCCGCAGACGACUUCUCAGGGAGUUCUAAGCUCCUGAGGGACAUCAAAAACAUGGCAGCAAGGAUCAGCAUGGAUCUGGGAUCAACUGGAAGCAAGUUUACAGUGUAGGUCAAUCAACCUCUACGAAAUGAAUGUGGUUUAUUUUGCUUGUCACAUAAUUGGGCUUUAUUCUGAUGGUAUGUGUCUGCAUUGCUUAGAUUAUGUCUGAGUUAUGUGAAGGAAAGGUUAUCUGGCAUUAUGUUUGUUCUACUUUCAUUUUGAAUUGCCAAACCUUUUAGUUGCUACCUAAAUAGUGGGAUUCAUAUUGACAUUCUUAGCUAUAAUGAAGGAAAAUAUCUUGAUGAUUUGCAAAUACUCCUCUGGUCAAACUGAAGCUUAAACUCGAACCAAAAAAUGGAAUUUGGAGGAAGGGACCUUAUUUUUGGAAUCUUAAAAUCUUUAAAUGUUCUCAAAAAUCGAUAGCGUUUGGAUUCUGGUUUUUCUUACUGACCUCGAGCAAUUUUCUGUAGUACACUGCUUUCAAAUAUCUUUCAAAAUGUGUUAGUACGACUUUGGUAAACUACAAAGCUGCACAGCUUGAUGGAACACUUGAAGCAUUAUGGCAGGGGUGUCAAACUCAUUUUCACUGAGGGCCACAUCAGCACAGUUGUGUCCUCAAAGGGCCAGAUAUAACUUAUACCUACUAAGUGUAAGUGUAAGUGUAAGUGUAAUGAAAAAAUAAAUGAACUCCUCCUUAAUUUUAAAAAACUCAUUAUUUAUUUAUUAUAACGUUUUAAAGUGACAAUUACAGUUGCAUAGAAAACAUAUGUUUCCUUGUUACUCUAGCAUAAAUCCUUUUAAAUGUUGUCGGCUUAUUUAAACCCACAAUCAAAUUGUCCUAGCGAAUGAAGAAAAAUAACAUAAAACUGAGCUAGACAGAACAUUUAUUAUAGUGUAAUAUUUGACAUAAAAGGCUGCAUCCAACUGAUGGUUUGAUGACAACAACUUGUAUCCAUACACACAUAAGACCUGCAAACACUGAACAAUUACAACAGCAGCUACACAUAAUAACAC